UUUUAUUUAAGGAAAGUGCAAAACAUUUUUUGGUACGUUAUUUAUCAAUUCGAUAGUUAGUUUAAUAAAAAGUGUAAUAUAAGUUAAGAUGGACCAACCUAUUUUUCUAGGAAUAGUAUAUUUUGUAUAGUUAUUUAUUAAAUAAUAAUUUAUAAUCAUACGGUUCUAUGAUCGUUCAUAUCGUUUUAUAACAAAAUAUUUAAAUCAUCGAUAACAAAAUUUUC
Molecule: long non-coding RNA, 224 nt
Filed under: Brassica napus (rape)
Lineage: Eukaryota; Viridiplantae; Streptophyta; Magnoliopsida; Brassicales; Brassicaceae
Description: long non-coding RNA (BNAP_LNC000836)
Source: RNAcentral